RNAcentral lists this ribosomal RNA (119 nucleotides) under Solanum lycopersicum (tomato). Lineage: Eukaryota; Viridiplantae; Streptophyta; Magnoliopsida; Solanales; Solanaceae. The record is from RNAcentral.
GGAUGCGAUCAUACUAGCACUCACGCACUAGAUCCCAUCAGAACUCCAAAGUUAAGCGUGAUUGGGCAAGAGUAGUACUAGUAUGGGUGACCCCUUGGGAAGUCCUCAUGUUGCAUCCU